GACGAACGCUGGCGGCGUGCUUAACACAUGCAAGUCGAACGGAAAGGCCCUGCUUUUGUGGGGUGCUCGAGUGGCGAACGGGUGAGUAACACGUGAGUAACCUGCCCUUGACUUUGGGAUACUUCAGGAAACUGGGGCUAAUACCGGAUAGGAGCUCCUGCUGCAUGGUGGGGGGUGGAAAGUUUCGGCGGUUGGGGAUGGACUCGCGGCUUAUCAGCUUGUUGGUGGGGUAGUGGCUUACCAAGGCUUUGACGGGUAGCCGGCCUGAGAGGGUGACCGGCCACAUUGGGACUGAGAUACGGCCCAGACUCCUACGGGAGGCAGCAGUGGGGAAUAUUGCACAAUGGGCGGAAGCCUGAUGCAGCAACGCCGCGUGCGGGAUGACGGCCUUCGGGUUGUAAACCGCUUUCGCCUGUGACGAAGCGUGAGUGACGGUAAUGGGUAAAGAAGCACCGGCUAACUACGUG
RNAcentral lists this ribosomal RNA (467 nucleotides) under uncultured bacterium. RNAcentral describes it as "partial 16S ribosomal RNA". It matches the Rfam family "Bacterial small subunit ribosomal RNA", at positions 28 to 507 of the family's 1533-position model. The record is from RNAcentral.